UGAACAGGAAGAUGCCUCCCUCUAGGUGUUGUCUCAGCAUGCACCUCUUCAGAGACUCCUUACUUACACAUCAGCUUUAGUCUGGACGUGGUGACUUUCCAGUGCUGUUUAGCAGAUUCACGGGCCUCAGCCCACAGCGUGAAAGGCGGUCUCCAAGUCAGCUGCUGUGCUGCAAUAGAUCCAGUACUGGACUCGUUCAUGCCCACAUUGACUCUCUGCCUUCUCCAAAAGUAGUACUUCCUAGAAUGACCUGGCAGCAUGAGAAGUAGUGGCUUGCUGCGGCUAUCGCAGCGGCAACCCCAGAAGGACCAGAUGACUGAUACCUGAUAUCUGGUGAGUGGGCUAGAGGUCAGAAGGAAAAAGCUGGACUACCAUUUGUGAGCAUGGUUUAGACAAAGCUAACAGCUCGUGAAGCGAGCAUCAGCCUGAAAGAGGG
RNAcentral lists this long non-coding RNA (436 nucleotides) under Apteryx owenii (little spotted kiwi). RNAcentral's name for it is "lncRNA (ENSAOWG00000000140.1)". Lineage: Eukaryota; Metazoa; Chordata; Aves; Apterygiformes; Apterygidae. The record is from RNAcentral.